This 193-nucleotide unclassified non-coding RNA is filed under the name uncultured Helotiaceae. Its description in RNAcentral is "sequence contains ITS1". Lineage: Eukaryota; Fungi; Ascomycota; Leotiomycetes; Helotiales; Helotiaceae. The record is from RNAcentral.
AAAAUGUAACCGGACCGGUUCGUCAAAGGUGAGAGCCUGCGGCGGAUCGCGAAGGGAGAUAUCAUACACCCUAUGUUUAUUUACUUUUGUUGCUUUGGCGGGCCGUCUUUUUAGGCGUCGGCCCCGGCUGAUCGCGCCCGCCAGAGGACCCAAACUCUUUUAUUAGUGAUGUCUGAGUACUAUAUAAUAGUUA